GCCCGCAUAGCUCAGUUGGUAGAGCGCAUCCAUGGUAAGGAUGAGGUCGCCAGUUCAAUCCUGGCUGCGGGCUCCA
RNAcentral lists this transfer RNA (76 nucleotides) under Bacillota bacterium. RNAcentral's name for it is "Firmicutes bacterium (compost metagenome) tRNA-Thr". It matches the Rfam family "tRNA". Rfam says of the family: Transfer RNA (tRNA) molecules are approximately 80 nucleotides in length. Their secondary structure includes four short double-helical elements and three loops (D, anti-codon, and T loops). Further hydrogen bonds mediate the characteristic L-shaped molecular structure. tRNAs have two regions of fundamental functional importance: the anti-codon, which is responsible for specific mRNA codon recognition, and the 3' end, to which the tRNAs corresponding amino acid is attached (by aminoacyl-tRNA synthetases). tRNAs cope with the degeneracy of the genetic code in two manners: having more than one tRNA (with a specific anti-codon) for a particular amino acid; and 'wobble' base-pairing, i.e. permitting non-standard base-pairing at the 3rd anti-codon position. The record is from RNAcentral. RNAcentral also lists the same sequence under 1 other name. Lineage: Bacteria; Bacillati; Bacillota.